GAUGAACGCUGGCGGCGUGCUUAACACAUGCAAGUCGAACGGAAAGGCCCUGCGUUUGUGGGGUUCUCGAUUGGCGAACGGGUGAGUAUCACGUGAGUAACCUGCCCUUGUCUUUGUGAUAACUUCUGGAAACUGGGGCUAAUAUCGGAUAUGAGCUCUUGCUGCAUGGUGUGGGUUGGAAAGUUUCGGCGGUUGUGGCUGGACUCGCGGCUUAUCAGCUUGUUGGUGGGGUAGUGGCGUACCAAGGCUUUGACGGGUAGCCGGCCUGAGAGCGUGACCGGGCUCAAUGGGACUAAGAGAGGGAGCAGAAUCCUAUGGGCGGCAGCAGUCGGGAACCUUGCACAACGGGCGGAAGCCUGAUGCAGAAACCCCGCGAGCGGGAAGCCCGCCUUCGGGUUGAAAACAGCUGUCGAAUGUGACGAAGAGUGAGUGACGGUAAUGAGUAAAGAAGCAACGGCUAACUACGUG
This 468-nucleotide ribosomal RNA is filed under the name uncultured bacterium. RNAcentral describes it as "partial 16S ribosomal RNA". It matches the Rfam family "Bacterial small subunit ribosomal RNA", at positions 28 to 507 of the family's 1533-position model. The record is from RNAcentral.